AAUCCAUAUGCUCCAUGAUAUACAUUCUUGGUACAAUGACCUGCACAAAAGUUAAGUCAUUCAACAAGUUAAUUUUUAAUCAAUAACAAUACAAAUUGGUUCCUACCCAUUGCACUUGAAUGCAAGAGAAUGAACUUUUCUUAUGAUAAAGGGUAAUAAAACCACCUUCAUUAUUGAAUGGUACCUUCCUAUCAAAUGACUUUAGAUCCCUUGAAAGUUGUUUGACUUUAUUACUGCCUCUUAUGAGCAAGAACUUUCCAAUACAAAACAAAUAAAAAAAAUUAUCACGCUAAUUGCCUAUGCAAAUCAAUAUUAAGUGGAAGCUUAGGUUAACAUAUCUCCUGUAGCUUCUUUUUUUUAACAGCUCAAUAGUAUUAUUAAAUAGCUCUCAACGAAUAAUACUUUAUUCUAAUACAAUAAAAAUUUAAACAGUUUUCUGUUACCCUGUUUUUGUUCUUCACUUAUCAUAUCAUCAUCUUUCUGUUUUAGUAACUCAAUACAUAAGGAAAAAAACAAUUUCUCCCAAUUGCUAAGAGAAGAGAUAUAAAACUAAUUAAAUGACAGAUAAAGGAAAAAAACUUUAAUUUCACAUACCGUUUGAUGGUUCACGAUAUUACCUUUAGGAAUUUUGGCAGCAUCUUUAACAAGCUCCGUCCCAACACACGUCAUGCCAGAAGAUAGAAUAAAGUAAACACAUAUUUUCAGAAAAUUUGUAACUCCUUUCUGAAUCUACAAUAAACCAAAAGAUAGAAUAGAGUAAAAAUAGUAACAUAUAAACUUGUAGCAAAGACAACACAUGAACAAGAGUAUGUAAAAAUUAAAUACCUCGAAGGGAGAGAAAGUCAUAACAAUUGUUUUAUUACGCGCAUUAGCAUUACGUCCUCUAGACGCCAUAGUCUUUAUUUUGGCUUUAACAUGGAAAUGAACCAUUACUGAUAAAACUCAUCAAAGAAGACAUCUAUACCUGAGAUGCCAUAUAAAUGAAGAAUUCUACACAGUACGUAAUCAUCUUUUAUGUAUGAUAAUGACCUGAGAAAACAACAUAAGAAUCUCUGAACUUGUGUAAAAUCACCUAUAACAUGUUGGUAUAUUAAUCAUUGGAGGAAAACAAAAAUCAUUAGAUUUCUAGAGUUGAAAAGUGCCAAUUCUUUUU
RNAcentral lists this long non-coding RNA (1153 nucleotides) under Trifolium pratense (red clover). Its description in RNAcentral is "long non-coding RNA (TPRA_LNC007083)". Lineage: Eukaryota; Viridiplantae; Streptophyta; Magnoliopsida; Fabales; Fabaceae. The record is from RNAcentral.